UACGUAGGGUGCGAGCGUUGUCCGGAAUUAUUGGGCGUAAAGGGCGCGUAGGCGGUGCGGUAAGUCAGGCGUGAAAUUCCUGGGCUCAACCUGGGGGCUGCGUUUGAUACGUAUUGUCUGGAGUUCGGAAGAGGGUCGUGGAAUUCCCAGUGUAGAGGUGAAAUUCGUAGAUAUUGGGAAGAACACCGGUGGCGAAGGCGGCGACCUGGUCCGAUACUGACGCUGAGGCGCGAAAGCGUGGGGAGCAAACAGG
Molecule: ribosomal RNA, 253 nt
Filed under: uncultured bacterium
Lineage: Bacteria
Description: partial 16S ribosomal RNA
Rfam family: Bacterial small subunit ribosomal RNA
Source: RNAcentral